UACGAAGGGGGCUAGCGUUGCUCGGAAUCACUGGGCGUAAAGCGCACGUAGGCGGAUUGCUAAGUCAGGGGGGAAAUCCUGGAGCUCAACUCCAGAACUGCCUUUGAUACUGGCAAUCUUGAGUCCGGAAGAGGUGAGUGGAACUCCUAGUGUAGAGGUGGAAUUCGUAGAUAUUAGGAAGAACACCAGUGGCGAAGGCGGCUCACUGGUCCGGUACUGACGCUGAGGUGCGAAAGCGUGGGGAGCAAACAGG
This 253-nucleotide ribosomal RNA is filed under the name uncultured bacterium. RNAcentral describes it as "partial 16S ribosomal RNA". It matches the Rfam family "Bacterial small subunit ribosomal RNA", at positions 524 to 776 of the family's 1533-position model. The record is from RNAcentral.